RNAcentral lists this transfer RNA (94 nucleotides) under Luteitalea sp. TBR-22. RNAcentral's name for it is "Vicinamibacteria bacterium TBR-22 tRNA-Leu". Lineage: Bacteria; Pseudomonadati; Acidobacteriota; Vicinamibacteria; Vicinamibacterales; Vicinamibacteraceae. The record is from RNAcentral.
GUCGAUGACCAGCAUGUCGAGGCCGUGCUCGGCCUUGAGGCGGCGGGCCUUGGCGCGCAUCUCGAGGACGCCGAUCGACGCCGUGUCGUCGAUG